AGUUUCUUCCUUCUUUGAUCAAACCUCGAUUCUCAAGGAUUCAAUCUGCGCAAACUUCAUUCUCCUAUACGCAUGCGUAUCACAUUCCUCGAUUCUGAUUUCAAUUCAAUUUUUUGAUUUAGGGUUCAUAAGUUAUUUUGAACAGAAACUUGUUUGACACGACGGUAACGUCUUGGCGUUUACAGAGAUAGUGAUGAAACAGAAAAGGUACUUUCGCGUGCGUGAUUUUUUCUUAAAAGUUAACAGCGAGUUUGUAAUCCGUUUGCUGACGUGUGAAAAAAUACAUGUGUUCUAUUUUGAUUGGAAACAGCACCAACAUGACCUAUUAGUAC
Molecule: long non-coding RNA, 332 nt
Filed under: Trifolium pratense (red clover)
Lineage: Eukaryota; Viridiplantae; Streptophyta; Magnoliopsida; Fabales; Fabaceae
Description: long non-coding RNA (TPRA_LNC005426)
Source: RNAcentral